UUACAGCCAUAUCAGAUUGAAACACUGGUUCUCAUAUGAUCACCAAAGCUAAGCAAUGUUAAACCUGGUCAGUAGCUACAAGGGUAACUGCUUGGGAAUACCAGGUGCUGUAAG
This 114-nucleotide ribosomal RNA is filed under the name Acanthosepion pharaonis. Lineage: Eukaryota; Metazoa; Mollusca; Cephalopoda; Sepiida; Sepiidae. The record is from RNAcentral.